UUAAACCAACGGUCUAUAUUCAAUUUCUUUAUUUUCUUCAUUUUCAACCCACAACAAGUCACUAUCAAAAUUCAUUAUUCUCAAAAAAUUGAAAACCCUCACUUCCCCCCUUUUCUUCUUAUCGCCGCCUCUUUUCCGGCACACGUCGUCCCUCUGCAACCAAGACAGAGACAAAGCGAUUCAUCACUGCAAACAACCGUGACGGAAAACCAAAAGUACAGAAUCACAGAUCUGAGAAAAUUUCAAGUUAUAAGGAAAACUCACCUCAGAGCAACAAAAUACACACAACAACAACGCAAUAACAAAGAAGAAGAAGAGAGAAAUCGUUGA
Molecule: non-coding RNA, 330 nt
Organism: Vicia faba (fava bean)
Lineage: Eukaryota; Viridiplantae; Streptophyta; Magnoliopsida; Fabales; Fabaceae
Source: the annotation of a GenBank genome assembly